UCCAUUUAUUGAUAAUGGGAA
RNAcentral lists this non-coding RNA (21 nucleotides) under Caenorhabditis elegans. The record is from RNAcentral. Lineage: Eukaryota; Metazoa; Nematoda; Chromadorea; Rhabditida; Rhabditidae.